AACGAACGCUGGCGGCAUGCCUAACACAUGCAAGUCGAACGAGACCUUCGGGUCUAGUGGCGCACGGGUGCGUAACGCGUGGGAACCUGCCCUUAGGUUCGGAAUAACUCCCCGAAAGGGGUGCUAAUACCGGAUAAUGUCUUCGGACCAAAGAUUUAUCGCCUUUGGAUGGGCCCGCGUUGGAUUAGCUAGUUGGUAGGGUAAAAGCCUACCAAGGCGACGAUCCAUAGCUGGUCUGAGAGGAUGAUCAGCCACACUGGGACUGAGACACGGCCCAGACUCCUACGGGAGGCAGCAGUGGGGAAUAUUGGACAAUGGGCGAAAGCCUGAUCCAGCAAGGCCGCGUGAGUGAUGAAGGCCUUAGGGUUGUAAAGCUCUUUUAACCGGGAUGAUAAUGACAGUACCGGGAGAAUAAGCCCCGGCUAACUCCGUG
This 433-nucleotide ribosomal RNA is filed under the name uncultured bacterium. RNAcentral's name for it is "partial 16S ribosomal RNA". It matches the Rfam family "Bacterial small subunit ribosomal RNA", at positions 29 to 507 of the family's 1533-position model. The record is from RNAcentral.